Long non-coding RNA from Ficedula albicollis (Collared flycatcher), 890 nucleotides. RefSeq lists it as uncharacterized. The transcript is spliced from 3 exons. Lineage: Eukaryota; Metazoa; Chordata; Aves; Passeriformes; Muscicapidae. The record is from RefSeq and is a predicted model, not a curated record.
GCGGCGUGUGGGCGCCGCCCGCACCGCCCGUUCUCUAACUCUGAGCUGCUAUUCUCCGUGCCUGUGUGUUCGUGCGGCCCUGUUUGCAAAGGACUGUUACGGGCAAAGUUGUGCUUUUUGGGGAGAAGUUGCAAAUAGCUACAGAAAAGGAGCAAACACCACCGAGGUCACAGCAAGGUUCUUUUUUCUCUUGUGUGAUCCUUGUUCUUCGCAGCCGUGUCCUGCCGUAGGAAGAGGACGUCAUCAAUUAUAUAAUGGAAGAUUUUUGUUUCUUCUGAAUGGUUGGCUGAUGCUUAGAAGAGCGUCUUGCUAUGAGACCGGAAGAGCGAGUUAAGAACCAGGAGCUUUGAAUGCCAGUAUGUGCUUAAUUACUGAUUCUGGUAGCUAUUUCUGCUAACAAAAGAAUGUCACCAUACUGUGAUUUAUAUUAAUACCCACAGUGCACUGUGCACCUGAAGAACAUGCAGCUGCUGGCCAGUGGGGGACCUGAUGCCUCCUGUGCUUUGCAGACUGUAAAAUUUGCUCUUCUCUCUUUUCUGGCAUGCAGACAGGUUUGCCUUGACACGGAGAUUUUCUGAAGAACCACUGUUCAUGGCUACAUUUUUGCUUGGAGCACAAAUGGAAUAAAAACAACCUUGUUUUGUAAGGCUAAGGCAUUAGAUUGAACAUCAAAAUUGCAUUUUUUAAGAGUCUGGUGGUCUGUAAAAACCAAUUCCAGCCAGAGGUUGCUCAUUUGGAAAUGGUGAAUGACAGCUGCUGCAGCUUUGGCAGACAGAAUUCUGAAUUGAACUUCUGCACAGUUCAGGUGCUGAGUCCUGACCAGAACUGUAAUUACACAGUGCAUAACAUACAUAAUUUACACUAUGAAAUGGUAUUUAUUUUUCUUUGUA